This 521-nucleotide ribosomal RNA is filed under the name uncultured archaeon. RNAcentral describes it as "bacterial SSU rRNA". It matches the Rfam family "Archaeal small subunit ribosomal RNA", at positions 325 to 849 of the family's 1478-position model. The record is from RNAcentral.
ACGGGGUGCAGCAGGCGCGAAACCUUCGCAAUGCGCGCAAGCGUGACGAGGGGACCCCAAGUGUGCUAGUAAAACUAGUACUUUUACGGAGUGUAAAAAGCUUCGAGAAUAAGGUCUGGGUAAGACUGGUGCCAGCCUCCGCGGUAACACCAGCAGAUCAAGUGGUAACCACGCUUAUUGGGCUUAAAGCGUCCGUAGUCGGUUAUACAAGUCUCCUGUGAAAUCCUGCGGCUUAACCGUAGGGCUUGCAAGAGAUACUAUAUGACUAGAGGCCGGGAGAGGUGUAGGGUAUUCUGGGGGUAGCGGUGAAAUGCUAUAAUCCCCGGAGGACCACCAGUAGCGAAGGCGCUACACUGGAACGGGCCUGACGAUGAGGGACGAGAGCUAGGGGAGCGAACCGGAUUAGAUACCCGGGUAGUCCUAGCUGUAAACGAUGCGGACUGAGUGUUUCCUGAACCUCGAGUUCAGGAAGUGCUGAAGGGAAACCGUUAAGUCCGCCGCCUGGGAGUACGUCGCAAGGC